GACGAACGCUGGCGGCGUGCCUAAUACAUGCAAGUCGAACGAGAGCGCCCGGUGCUUGCACUGGUCAAUCUAGUGGCGAACGGGUGAGUAACACGUGGGUAACCUGCCCAUCAGAGGGGGAUAACAUCCGGAAACGGAUGCUAAAACCGCAUAGGUCUUCGAACCGCAUGGUUUGAAGAGGAAAAGAGGCGCAAGCUUCUGCUGAUGGAUGGACCCGCGGUGCAUUAGCUAGUUGGUGAGGUAACGGCUCACCAAGGCCGUGAUGCAUAGCCGACCUGAGAGGGUGAUCGGCCACAUUGGGACUGAGACACGGCCCAAACUCCUACGGGAGGCAGCAGUAGGGAAUCUUCCGCAAUGGACGCAAGUCUGACGGAGCAACGCCGCGUGAGUGAAGAAGGUGUUCGGAUCGUAAAACUCUGUUGUUAGAGAAGAACAAGUGCUAGAGUAACUGUUAGCGCCUUGACGGUAUCUAACCAGAAAGCCACGGCUAACUACGUG
Molecule: ribosomal RNA, 498 nt
Filed under: uncultured bacterium
Lineage: Bacteria
Description: partial 16S ribosomal RNA
Rfam family: Bacterial small subunit ribosomal RNA
Source: RNAcentral